ACGGAGGAUGCAAGCGUUAUCCGGAUUUAUUGGGUUUAAAGGGUGCGCAGGCGGAAUGAUAAGUCAGUGGUGAAAGCUUUCGGCUUAACCGGAAAAUUGCCAUUGAUACUAUUGUUCUUGAGUACAGUUGAGGUAGGCGGAAUGUGUCAUGUAGCAGUGAAAUGCUUAGAUAUGACAGAGAACACCGGUAGCGAAGGCAGCUUACCAAGUUGAAACUGACGGUCAUGCACGAAAGCGUGGGGAUCAAACAG
This 251-nucleotide ribosomal RNA is filed under the name uncultured prokaryote. RNAcentral describes it as "partial 16S rRNA". It matches the Rfam family "Bacterial small subunit ribosomal RNA", at positions 525 to 775 of the family's 1533-position model. The record is from RNAcentral.